UACGGAGGGGGCUAGCGUUGUUCGGAAUUACUGGGCGUAAAGCGCACGUAGGCGGCUUUGUAAGUUAGAGGUGAAAGCCCGGAGCUUAACUCCGGAACUGCCUUUAAGACUGCAUCGCUCGAAUCAUGGAGAGGUCAGUGGAAUUCCGAGUGUAGAGGUGAAAUUCGUAGAUAUUCGGAAGAACACCAGUGGCGAAGGCGACAUACUGGCUCAUUACUGACGCUGAGGCUCGAAAGCGUGGGGAGCAAACAGG
RNAcentral lists this ribosomal RNA (253 nucleotides) under uncultured bacterium. Its description in RNAcentral is "partial 16S ribosomal RNA". It matches the Rfam family "Bacterial small subunit ribosomal RNA", at positions 524 to 776 of the family's 1533-position model. The record is from RNAcentral.